Molecule: unclassified non-coding RNA, 324 nt
Filed under: soil metagenome
Description: partial contains 5.8S ribosomal RNA, internal transcribed spacer 2, and large subunit ribosomal RNA
Rfam family: 5.8S ribosomal RNA (bases 1-120)
Source: RNAcentral
GUUGAAGAACGUAGCGAAAUGCGAUAAGUAAUGCGAAUUGCAGAAUUCAGUGAGUCAUCGAAUCUUUGAACGCACAUUGCGCCCUGUGGUAUUCCGCAGGGCAUGCCUGUUCGAGCGUCAUUUCAACCCUCAAGCCUCGCUUGGUGUUGGGCCCUGCCCGCCGCGGCCGGCCCUAAAGAUAGUGGCGGCGCCGCCUGGCCCUCAGCGUAGUACAGCUCUCGCUCCAGGGUCCGGCGGCAGCCUGCCAGAACCCCCCAACUCUGUGGUUGACCUCGGAUCAGGUAGGGAUACCCGCUGAACUUAAGCAUAUCAAUAAGCGGAGGA